Molecule: long non-coding RNA, 1185 nt
Filed under: Manduca sexta (tobacco hornworm)
Lineage: Eukaryota; Metazoa; Arthropoda; Insecta; Lepidoptera; Sphingidae
Description: uncharacterized LOC119190139
Source: RNAcentral
CUUCAUCCCCAUCGCAGAGUGCUUCUUGGAGCGUCAACGUGAACUGACAUUUCUCUAAAUGUUCCUGCACAAGGCUUUCUAUCUCCGGAUCGUCAGCUGUUAUGUUCUCCGCUGCAGUUUCCUACAAUACAUUUAGAUGCGCAAACCGUCGGUUCCAGGAUUCGAGCAGCGUGCGCGUGAGGUGGUGCUGCGUGCGCGGGUCGCGCGACACGUACAGCCGCGCGCGCACGCGCCGCCCGCGCCCGCAGCGCGCCGAGCACGGCGACCAGCCGCCCCACCCCGUCACCGCGCACGAGCCGCCCGCCGUGUCCUGCACACACCACACCACACAACCAUAUAGCACUAUUGCCAUAUAAGCGGUUUCUCCGCAAACUGGGGGACUUUUGAGGGCAAGAACUUAAACGAAGCAAAGCGAGAACAUAAUAAAUAUAUCGUGAAAAGUCCUCUUUUUAGAUGGAAAAUUAAAGAGGUUUUUUGAAAAAUUUAUUUAACGAAGGUUAUACUUAACUUAGUUUUGAGUCAUUAUAAAGCGGAUAUCUGGCUUGUACACUUUUAUAAUCAACAGACAAACUCUUCACUCUAGAACGGUUCAAUCACUUUCAUAAUUAACUGUCUAUAAUCUCUACAUUCUGAAAACGAUCAUAUGAUUUUAUACGAAAAAUACAAACUCAUGCUUGAUGUUAGGCAUGACGACCCGACGUUUGGUGACAACCAAAGCAACACUGCCAGAUUUCAAACCACUACAUACUUACCACCAUCAGUAGUAUACAAAUAUAGUAAAAUUAAAGAAACAGCUUUUUAUGACGAUUUACAUACCUAAAAAAAAUUGCUUCAUAUAACUAAAUAUGAAAAUAUAAAAAUUAGAAGAUUUAGUUUUUACGUCACUCCAUCUUUCAAAACAAGAAAACCAUAACUAAUUAUAGAUAUUAAGAUUUAAUCAUCUGAUAAACGUGAGUACGGAUGUUAACGAUUACAGGAAAUUAAUUAAUACGUACCACAUAAAACCAAUCGAAGUUAGUAGCAUUCACGUGCGGUCCUCGUGGUCUGUAAAUAAAGACAUGAACAUUAAUAUAUUUUUGCAGUAGCGGUCAUUUUAUCUCGGGUCCAGCGUCGCAAGGCAUGGCCUGGUCCAUGACCAUGCGCGCGCGGUACCCCACGUGACAGCGCUUGUGCGCGCGCGGCGCC